CUCCUGGAAACGGGUGGUAAUGCCGGAUGUUCCAGUUGAUCGCAUGGUCUUCUGGGAAAGCUUUCGCGGUAUGGGAUGGGGUCGCGUCCUAUCAGCUUGACGGCGGGGUAACAGCCCACCGUGGCUUCGACGGGUAGCCGGCCUGAGAGGGUGACCGGCCACAUUGGGACUGAGAUACGGCCCAGACUCCUACGGGAGGCAGCAGUGGGGAAUAUUGCACAAUGGGCGCAAGCCUGAUGCAGCGACGCCGCGUGAGGGAUGGAGGCCUUCGGGUUGUAAACCUCUUUUAUCGGGGAGCAAGCGUGAGUGAGUUUACCCGUUGAAUAAGCACCGGCUAACUACGUGCCAGCAGCCGCGGUAAUACGUAGGGUGCAAGCGUUAUCCGGAAUUAUUGGGCGUAAAGGGCUCGUAGGCGGUUCGUCGCGUCCGGUGUGAAAGUCCAUCGCUUAACGGUGGAUCCGCGCCGGGUACGGGCGGGCUUGAGUGCGGUAGGGGAGACUGGAAUUCCCGGUGUAACGGUGGAAUGUGUAGAUAUCGGGAAGAACACC
RNAcentral lists this ribosomal RNA (548 nucleotides) under uncultured Bifidobacterium sp. RNAcentral's name for it is "bacterial SSU rRNA". It matches the Rfam family "Bacterial small subunit ribosomal RNA", at positions 147 to 710 of the family's 1533-position model. The record is from RNAcentral. Lineage: Bacteria; Bacillati; Actinomycetota; Actinomycetes; Bifidobacteriales; Bifidobacteriaceae.